AAACGAUGAAACACGAAAAUCUAGCAUAGUUCACACUGAAUCAUUGUGUUGACAACCAUUCAUCACGUCUUUCGCUCCUAUCUGACACUUCCU
Molecule: small nucleolar RNA, 93 nt
Organism: Rhizopogon vinicolor AM-OR11-026
Lineage: Eukaryota; Fungi; Basidiomycota; Agaricomycetes; Boletales; Rhizopogonaceae
Rfam family: Small nucleolar RNA snR60/Z15/Z230/Z193/J17
About the family: The members of this family belong to the C/D class of snoRNAs which contain the C (UGAUGA) and D (CUGA) box motifs.
Source: Rfam